CCCUUAGAGUUUGAUCCUGGCUCAGAUUGAACGCUGGCGGCAGGCCUAACACAUGCAAGUCGAGCGGUAGAGAGGUGCUUGCACCUCUUGAGAGCGGCGGACGGGUGAGUAAAGCCUAGGAAUCUGCCUGGUAGUGGGGGAUAACGCUCGGAAACGGACGCUAAUACCGCAUACGUCCUACGGGAGAAAGCAGGGGACCUUCGGGCCUUGCGCUAUCAGAUGAGCCUAGGUCGGAUUAGCUAGUUGGUGAGGUAAUGGCUCACCAAGGCGACGAUCCGUAACUGGUCUGAGAGGAUGAUCAGUCACACUGGAACUGAGACACGGUCCAGACUCCUACGGGAGGCAGCAGUGGGGAAUAUUGGACAAUGGGCGAAAGCCUGAUCCAGCCAUGCCGCGUGUGUGAAGAAGGUCUUCGGAUUGUAAAGCACUUUAAGUUGGGAGGAAGGGCAUUAACCUAAUACGUUAGUGUUUUGACGUUACCGACAGAAUAAGCACCGGCUAACUCUGUGCCAGCAGCCGCGGUAAUACAGAGGGUGCAAGCGUUAAUCGGAAUUACUGGGCGUAAAGCGCGCGUAGGUGGUUCGUUAAGUUGGAUGUGAAAUCCCCGGGCUCAACCUGGGAACUGCAUUCAAAACUGUCGAGCUAGAGUAUGGUAGAGGGGUGGUGGAAUUUCCUGUGUAGCGGUGAAAUGCGUAGAUAUAGGAAAGAAC
This 710-nucleotide ribosomal RNA is filed under the name uncultured bacterium. RNAcentral describes it as "bacterial SSU rRNA". It matches the Rfam family "Bacterial small subunit ribosomal RNA", at positions 1 to 707 of the family's 1533-position model. The record is from RNAcentral.